GACGAACGCUGGCGGCGUGCUUAACACAUGCAAGUCGAACGAUGAACCCGGAGCUUGCUCCGGUGGAUUAGCGGCGAACGGGUGAGUAACACGUGAGUAACCUGCCCUUGACUCUGGGAUAACUGCGGGAAACUGUAGCUAAUACCGGAUACGACCCUCGGCGGCAUCGCCAGGGGGUGGAAAGAAUUUCGGUAAAGGAUGGACUCGCGGCCUAUCAGCUAGUUGGUGAGGUAACGGCUCACCAAGGCGACGACGGGUAGCCGGCCUGAGAGGGUGACCGGCCACACUGGGACUGAGACACGGCCCAGACCCCUACGGGAGGCAGCAGUGGGGAAUAUUGCACAAUGGGCGCAAGCCUGAUGCAGCAACGCCGCGUGAGGGAUGACGGCCUUCGGGUUGUAACCCUCUUUUAGUAGGGAAGAAGCGAAAGUGACGGUACCUGCAGAAAAAGCACCGGCUAACUACGUGCCAGCCGCCGCGGUAA
RNAcentral lists this ribosomal RNA (484 nucleotides) under uncultured bacterium. RNAcentral's name for it is "partial 16S ribosomal RNA". It matches the Rfam family "Bacterial small subunit ribosomal RNA", at positions 28 to 523 of the family's 1533-position model. The record is from RNAcentral.